Molecule: non-coding RNA, 413 nt
Organism: Phasianus colchicus (ring-necked pheasant)
Lineage: Eukaryota; Metazoa; Chordata; Aves; Galliformes; Phasianidae
Source: RefSeq, a predicted model, not a curated record
GGAACCAACUUUGUCCUCCACCUUAGAGUGGAGGACAACCUCUAAGGACCACCUUAGAGGUAUUCCUUGGGUUAGAGCAUCGGAGGGGGUCCUGCCUGCCGUUCUCGACUCUGAUGCCUAACUUCCUUUGCGCUCAAGAGGGUAUUUCUUUCUCUAAGGGAAAGAAAUAGAGAAGCGGCGGAAGGAGACCUGCAUGGGCCAACGAGGAAGUCACAGCAGUGGCUGGGAAUAUCAGAUGAAAGAGUCUUUGAGGGGGAAUGACUUCCCUUUGAGGGCGGAGGAGCUGUUCAAAAAUCAGAUGAAGGUUGCCUGAGGACCGACGGAGAGCCAAUGUCACCGCAGUCUUGAGAAAGAGCAAGAAGGAUGGCCUGCGCAACUUUGCUCAGAGAUAUUUGUAAGGAGCAGCCACGGUG